Oreochromis niloticus (Nile tilapia) is the source of this 1624-nucleotide long non-coding RNA. Lineage: Eukaryota; Metazoa; Chordata; Actinopteri; Cichliformes; Cichlidae. The record is from Ensembl.
UCUAUUUCCUGCGACCACAGCCUGCACCGUCAACUUCUCCACAUGCAUCAGAACAUCCCCCAGCAUGCCUUCACUCCCGUCCUGCACCAGUCCUCGAGCAUCCUGCCAAAUCCAGCAAUGAUGGGACCUCAGGACAGAAAUUUUAACACAAACCUGCCCGGACAAACAAUGAGGACCUUCUUUGCACCCAUCACAGCCUCGCACAGAGCAACAAAAAGAUCCUUUAACUCAACAAGACGAGGGAGAUGGGGCGCACUGCAUGUGUGUAUUGCGUGGAAAAUUUACUACCACAAACAACUCAAGGUGAGCGCUAAAUGCAUUUAAUUGUUAUUUUUUUGUUGGGAUUUGUGGUAGUUUUGAAUGUUUCUGCAUGUUUUGGGAGUUCAUAUGUGUGGAAUCAUUGGUGAUCCCAUGCAAACUGUAGGCUCCAGUUCCUGCUCUCAGCUGACAGAAGUGCACCCUGGUGUGGUCUUCUGCUGCUGUUGCCCAUCUACUUUAAUAUUGGACUUGCUGUGUAUUCAGAGAUGCUCUUCAUCACAUCCUCAUACUCUUAUUUUGAGUGUAAUUCAUUUCCUAAAAGAUAAACUGAGUUUUAUUGUUUUUCAGCUCAGAGUUAUGUCACAGUAAUACUGUUAUUGUGAAUUGUAUUGCUCACAGUAUAGUGAAAAGUUCGCAGAGGGAUAUUAUUAAUGGAUCUUACUGAUCUUGUAUUGCACAGCUGAUCUGUCUUAUAAACAACAUGUAAUAUUUAAUUUAUCAGAAACUGCAACAAAUGCACAGCAGUCAACAGGAGCUGACACCUGAGUGUCCUGCUAGCAGUCCCUCUGCCUCUGUGCAACAAAAGGAAAUACACCAGCCGUGUGCACACCCAUGUUCAGGUGGAAGCAAGAGUGUAACUGCAAGCUGUGACAGUUCUGUCUCCGACCUUCAAACGCCUCCACCAGUGUCUACCCACAGCCGUGCAAACUGGGAGAAACUUGACUGUGAGAAGCAGGACCAGCACUCAACACCUGAUGAGAAAGAGAAGCACCAGAUCCGCCAAUCUAGCCCAACAAAGGAUUUAACUCAUAAAGAGAAGUUCAGGGAAUUAAUAGUCACUUCUGACCUUGAUGGCAGACACAGCGGCUCGCUUGACAGGAAGAGGCAGUUUGAGUGUGAAGCCAUCAACAAAGCAAAGAGAAUGAGGCACGAAAUGUUCAACAGUCCGUUUGGUUCUUCUCAGACUUUGCAGUAUUAUCCAUCUCCAUUCAUCACAACUUAUACACAUCCACCAGCACACAACAUGCAAGUGCAACACACUAACAUGAGUGAUUGCUCUUUCCUGUAUCCUAACAGCAUUAGAUUUAAUGCGUCUUAUCCAGGCACCAAGUCGCAUCCCUGCCAAACUUCUUCAUGGGAGACAAUGAGGGACACACACAGUUUCCAUUUAAGGAAACACACCCUUAAAGACUACUCGCUGAAUACCUGCAAGGCAAUCAGGAAACCUCUUGUAACAAGAGGUAUCACGUCACCUCUUUAUUUCCUUCGAGGGAGGGAGACACUUCUGUCUAGAGAAGUGUCAACACCGCUGCAGAUGCCAGCGGCCUCAUACUGGCUUUCUAGCAAUGCAGUAUUGGGACCCUGA